GGUAACAGGACACAAUGGAGACAAAAACUAUACUUAUAGUGGUAGUGGUAAUGAAAAUGACAUAAGGAAAAUCACGCUGCAUAGGAAACCACAAAUUUUGACUUCGUUGAUGGAACAGCUUGCGGAAAAGCUAGGUCUUCCAUACAAGUUUUAUCUUCAGUAUGAAGAUGCUGAUUUUAACAAUGCACUGGUUAACCUCACAGACAUUGCAGAUUUACCUGAAAGGCCCACCUUAAAGGUGAUUGCUCUUGCAGCAUCUCCUACACCAAGUACAGCUGACACAGAUAUUGUGUCUUUGACUUCAGAAGAAGGUUUGUCUAAUGUACACCAAGCUUAGUGGCCAGAGACCUUUGAAAUCCCCAAUUUUCCUGUAGACAUUAAGUACAGAUUGCACCAAGGAAAUUUUCCCUUUAUGAAAGACCAGACAUAUAUGCACGCUCCAUGAAAUCCUUGAAAAACUUGCUAAGUCAAUGUACAACUUCAAAGCAUAUCCCUCAGAUGACGAAUUCAAUAAUGUUGCAUCUGAACUAGUCAAAAAACAUUCAUGCCUUAUUGAGCCAGGUUCCUCGACUGGAUGGAACGAUUGGAAGAACAGCCUCAAAUUUAAAAUGGGGAACUACAGAACGAAGCUACGCCGAGCUGGAUGCACAGAUGUUCUUAUAAAUGCAGGGAAAAGGGGAAGCAAAGAUUCCGUGAGAAAUGUUAAAAGACUUAAACGAUUUGAAAUCAAUUUUCUUCCCAAUUGUCCUGCUAAUGAGGAUGACUGCAGCAUGCAAUCUAAACGCUUACAACUUGUGGAGGAAAUGAAGAAAAGUCAUCCAAGUUCCACCUUGAUAUCACAGCACAUGGAUUACACUUUCUCCUUGAGAAGAAAAGAUAUUGUAGAAAAGGAGCCUCUAGUAAAAGAGACUUUCCAAAGAUGGCCAUCACUUUUCACAGAAAGCCAGAUCAAUUCAGAUUUUAUUUGAAUUACAAGCAAAAACCCUAAGCAAGAAUUGUUUUCUGCACUUAAUAAAAAUACUUCACAAUUUCUGGACAUUUUUAAGAGCAAGAAAGUGGCUGUUGGAAAAAGACUCUGAAUUUCUUCAGCAAAUUAAACCUGUGAGCACUGACAUCACUGCAAAGCGCACAGCAGUUCUUCGUGGCCUUCCACUUAUUCUUGGAGAAGAAGCCUCUAA
This is a long non-coding RNA of Clarias gariepinus (North African catfish), 1178 nucleotides long. RefSeq lists it as uncharacterized. The record is from RefSeq and is a predicted model, not a curated record. Lineage: Eukaryota; Metazoa; Chordata; Actinopteri; Siluriformes; Clariidae. The transcript is spliced from 3 exons.